RNAcentral lists this ribosomal RNA (254 nucleotides) under uncultured bacterium. RNAcentral describes it as "partial 16S ribosomal RNA". It matches the Rfam family "Bacterial small subunit ribosomal RNA", at positions 524 to 776 of the family's 1533-position model. The record is from RNAcentral.
UACGGAGGGUGCGAGCGUUGUCCGGAAUCACUGGGCGUAAAGGGCGCGUAGGCGGCUCAUGAAGGCUGUGGUGAAAGUCCGGGGCUCAACCUCGGAUCGGCCGUGGCGACUCGUGGGCUGGAGCACUGUAGAGGCGGGUGGAAUUCCGGGUGUAGCGGUGGAAUGCGUAGAGAUCCGGAAGAACACCAGUGGCGAAGGCGGCCUUCUGGACGAGUGACUGACGCUGAGACGCGAAAGCGUGGGGAGCAAACAGG